Non-coding RNA from Manis javanica (Malayan pangolin), 806 nucleotides. Lineage: Eukaryota; Metazoa; Chordata; Mammalia; Pholidota; Manidae. The record is from RefSeq and is a predicted model, not a curated record.
GUGCUGCUGGCCUGGCGCGUGUACCGAGUGGGCUGGAAGGCGUCGGGCCACCAGAGGUUUAGGGAAACAGGAUCGGCCUCAGGCCACUGAUGGAAGGAAAAUGAAAGCAGAGAAACAAACACCCCUGGAUCAAUACGUCCCUGCCAAGUCCUCUUCGUCAUCACAGGAGCACCUGGAAUGCAUUCAGGUGAAGAAAAUCCACCAAUGAUGUGCAAUAUUGGAAGAAGCCCAAGCUUUGGAGCUCGACAGAUCUGAUUUCUUAUCCCACAUCCACCACAUAGUGGUGCCAUGAAAUCAUGGCAAUAUGGCAUGACCUCAAACAAGAUAAUUUACCUUGCAACAUUUCAGUCUUCAAACAUGUAAAGGGGCCUAGUAGUAUUUAGCUUGCAUGGUUCUAGAAGACAAGAGAUAAUGUAUAUAAACCAACAGACAAACAACAAGUACUCAGAAAAUGCCUGGGGUUCUGCAAUGCUAACAUGUUCCCAUUCUGGCACUUCAUUUCUGAUUAAUCACUGCAGAGAAAGAAAUUAGAUUUUCCAGGGACAUCAGGAAUCCCAAGGACUUUUAUUUGUAAACUUCCUCUAGGAAAAGGUACUUUACCACUUGAAGAAUAAGAGAGAUUUGCUUCUCUCUGUGCCAAUAUUUUCAAGAGAAAGUCUCUGAGUUUUUCUGCACCACCAGCCUUCCUUUGGGGUGAUGGAGCCAUCCCUGAGGUAUAUGGCAUAUGUUGCACCAUCACCUCCUCUGUCUCAGAUGUCAUGGAACCCCCUGCUAAAGGCAACAGCCGCACAGAGAUCUCCAUGGGA